GUCUACGGCCAUGCCACCCUGAACACACCCGAUCUCGUCUGAUCUUGGAAGCUAAGCAGGGUCAGGCCUGGUUUGUACUUGCAUGGGAGACCACCUAGGAAGACUAGGUGCUGUAGGCA
Molecule: ribosomal RNA, 119 nt
Filed under: Pteropus alecto (black flying fox)
Lineage: Eukaryota; Metazoa; Chordata; Mammalia; Chiroptera; Pteropodidae
Source: RNAcentral